AGAGUUUGAUCAUGGCUCAGAUUGAACGCUGGCGGCAUGCCUUACACAUGCAAGUCGAACGGUAACGCGGGGCAACCUGGCGACGAGUGGCGAACGGGUGAGUAAUGCAUCGGAACGUGCCCAGUAGUGGGGGAUAGCCCGGCGAAAGCCGGAUUAAUACCGCAUACGACCUACGGGUGAAAGCGGGGGACCGCAAGGCCUCGCGCUAUUGGAGCGGCCGAUGUCAGAUUAGGUAGUUGGUGGGGUAAAGGCCCACCAAGCCUGCGAUCUGUAGCUGGUCUGAGAGGACGACCAGCCACACUGGGACUGAGACACGGCCCAGACUCCUACGGGAGGCAGCAGUGGGGAAUUUUGGACAAUGGGGGCAACCCUGAUCCAGCCAUGCCGCGUGCGGGAAGAAGGCCUUCGGGUUGUAAACCGCUUUUGUCAGGGAAGAAACGCUCUAAGCUAAUACCUUGGGGUAAUGACGGUACCUGAAGAAUAAGCACCGGCUAACUACGUGCCAGCAGCCGCGGUAAUACGUAGGGUGCAAGCGUUAAUCGGAAUUACUGGGCGUAAAGCGUGCGCAGGCGGUCGUGCAAGACAGAUGUGAAAUCCCCGGGCUCAACCUGGGAACUGCAUUUGUGACUGCACGGCUGGAGUGCGGCAGAGGGGGAUGGAAUUCCGCGUGUAGCAGUGAAAUGCGUAGAUAUGCGGAGGAACACCGAUGGCGAAGGC
Molecule: ribosomal RNA, 717 nt
Filed under: uncultured bacterium
Lineage: Bacteria
Description: bacterial SSU rRNA
Rfam family: Bacterial small subunit ribosomal RNA
Source: RNAcentral